GAUCGAAUCCUGUGCAGGAACAAAGGGGGCAGAUUGAGCCACGGACUUGAUGAGCCAGUUCUGCAUGACUGUAUUAUCCCAAGAGACUUCAGCCCUCUAUCUCUCGCGCACAGAAGAGUUCUGUGCGCACUAAGGUUCAACUGCAAGAAUAAUUAUGAACACAAAAGUACUAUUCCGAGGCAGAGACCACCGCCAUUCCUUGAACCUCACGGUAACUAUGUGCCAAGGAGACUCAGACCCUGCCCUGGAGUGACGGUUGAAGUUCAGCUGGAGGGUGCAGUGAUGAACAACCCCAUGACCCAGACAGAUGGGGACCAAGCCCCUCACUCACGCGUGUUCCUGGCCGCCGUGCUCCAGGCGGUAGCGCACGAGUCCCAGGAGGCGGCUCUGCCGGCUGUCCCCCUCACACAGCACACCUUGCACCGCCUGCGGCUCAGAGUCAAGGGAAGACAACCCAGAGGCGAGGCCGCUCCCCACUCAGGCUGUCCCACCUUCCUCCGUUCCCCUGUCCCCCAGAUUCACUGUGUGGCCUUGGGCCAGUCACUCUCUAAGCCUUCCUCAUCGAUGAAAUGAGGAUAAUAAUCCUCAUUUCAUAGGGAGUUAGGAGGAUGACUGCAAAUUUAAAGCAUCUGGCGGAGAGUCCAGGACUCAGUGGAGAAACUGAGCCUUGGAGAGGGUAAGCAGUUUGACAUUAAGUCCUGCAGCUAGCAGGUGGCAACACUGGGACUCCACUGAAAGUCUGACUGCAACUCCUGGGCCAUUUGUACCGCCACACACUGCCCUAUUUCUUCCCUCAGCCCCACUCAGCCCUCCUGCCACACAGUGCUGUUUGAGGCUACUGGGUGUGAACGCACUUUAUAAAGGGUAUGACACUGUUCCUGUCUGGCAAUGUCCUUUCCCUGAUCCACCUGGCUGUGUGACCUUGGCCAAGACCUUUCUUCCCUUGGGAUUCAAUUUCCCCAUCUAAGAUAAGAGGUUACCCCAGAUGGACAAAAAGAGC
Rhinopithecus roxellana (golden snub-nosed monkey) is the source of this 1000-nucleotide long non-coding RNA. RefSeq lists it as uncharacterized. The record is from RefSeq and is a predicted model, not a curated record. The transcript has 3 exons. Lineage: Eukaryota; Metazoa; Chordata; Mammalia; Primates; Cercopithecidae.